This 94-nucleotide transfer RNA is filed under the name uncultured Comamonas sp. RNAcentral describes it as "tRNA-Arg(cct)". The record is from RNAcentral. Lineage: Bacteria; Pseudomonadati; Pseudomonadota; Betaproteobacteria; Burkholderiales; Comamonadaceae.
CAGCACCUGGGCGAUGCUGGCGUUGGGUUCGCGUCCUUCGCGGAUGGCAGCGAAGAAUUCGCGGUCCUGCAGUUCGAUGCCGUUCAUGCUGACC